GAUGAACGCUGGCGGCGUGCCUAAUACAUGCAAGUCGAACGCAUAGCGAAAGGUGCUUGCACCUUUCAGGUGAGGGGCGAACGGUGGAGUAACAGGGGGACAACCUGCUUCAAGGCUGGGGAUAACAUUGGGAAACAGAUGCUAAUACCGAAUAAAACUUAAUGUCGCAUGACCAAAAGUUAAAAGGGGCUUUGGCGUCACCUAGAGAUGGAUCCGCGGUGCAUUAGUUAGUUGGUGGGGUAAAGGCUUACCAAGACAAUGAUGCAUAGCCGAGUUGAGAGGCUGAUCGGCCACAUUGGGACUGAGACACGGCCCAGACUCCUACGGGAGGCUGCAGUAGGGAAUCUUCCACAAUGGGCGAAAGCCUGAUGGAGCAACGCCGCGUGUGUGAUGAAGGCUUUCGGGUCGUAAAGCACUGUUGUAUGGGAAGAACAGCUAGAAUAGGAAAUGAUUUUAGUUUGACGGUACCAUACCAGAAAGGGACGGCUAAAUACGUG
Molecule: ribosomal RNA, 497 nt
Filed under: uncultured bacterium
Lineage: Bacteria
Description: partial 16S ribosomal RNA
Rfam family: Bacterial small subunit ribosomal RNA
Source: RNAcentral